Molecule: microRNA, 20 nt
Filed under: Ciona intestinalis (vase tunicate)
Lineage: Eukaryota; Metazoa; Chordata; Ascidiacea; Phlebobranchia; Cionidae
Description: cin-miR-5607-3p
Source: miRBase by way of RNAcentral
AUUUAAUUUUCGUCCCAAAU